CAGCCCCAGUCUCCUCCCACAGGAGCCUUCAUCCAGCAUGGAGUUCUUGGCUCUGCUCCUCUGCCUGGUGGCAGCGCCCUGCUGUGUCCUGUCCCAGGUGCAGCUGCAGGAGUCAGGACCUGGCCUGGUGAAGCCUUCAGAGACCCUGUCCCUCACUUGUGCCGUCUCUGGAUUCUCUUUAACCAGUGAUGCUGUCAGCUGGUUCCGUCAGGCUCCAGGGAAGGGGCUGGAGUGGAUUGGUAUCAUAUGGAGAGGUGGAGGCACAAAUUAUAACUCAGCCCUUCAGUCCCGAGUGGGCAUCAGCAGGGACACUUCCAAGAGCCAAGUUUCACUAACACUGAGCAGCCUGAGAACCGAGGACACGGCCGUGUAUUACUGUGCAGGAGACACAGUGAGGGGACGUGUCCGGUGUGAAGUGCGGCUGGUGGAGUCUGGCGGAGGCUUGGUGCAGCCUGGGAGGUCCCUGGGACUCUCCUGUGCAGCCUCUGGAUUCACCUUCA
Molecule: non-coding RNA, 500 nt
Organism: Chinchilla lanigera (long-tailed chinchilla)
Lineage: Eukaryota; Metazoa; Chordata; Mammalia; Rodentia; Chinchillidae
Source: the annotation of a RefSeq genome assembly